UACGUAGGGCGCAAGCGUUGUCCGGAAUUAUUGGGCGUAAAGAGCUCGUAGGCGGUUUGUCGCGUCUGCUGUGAAAUCCCGAGGCUCAACCUCGGGCUUGCAGUGGGUACGGGCAGACUGGAGUGCGGUAGGGGAGAUCGGAAUUCCUGGUGUAGCGGUGAAAUGCGCAGAUAUCAGGAGGAACACCGGUGGCGAAGGCGGAUCUCUGGGCCGUAACUGACGCUGAGGAGCGAAAGCAUGGGGAGCGAACAGG
Molecule: ribosomal RNA, 253 nt
Filed under: uncultured bacterium
Lineage: Bacteria
Description: partial 16S ribosomal RNA
Rfam family: Bacterial small subunit ribosomal RNA
Source: RNAcentral